GACGAACGCUGGCGGCGUGCUUAACACAUGCAAGUCGAACGGAAAGGCCUGCUUUCCCUUGUGGAUUGCGGGUACUCGCGUGGCGAACGGGUGAGUAACACGUGAGUGAUCUGCCCCCAACUUGGGUAUAAGCCUGGGAAACUGGGUCUAAUUCCCGAUAGGACUGCAGGGUGGUGCCUGUGGUGGAAAACGAUUUUCUAGUGGUUGGGGAUGAGCUCGCGGCCUAUCAGCUUGUUGGUGGGGUAAUGGCCUACCAAGGCGGCGACGGGUAGCCGGCCUGAGAGGGUGGACGGGCACAUUGGGACUGAGAUACGGCCCAGACUCCUACGGGAGGCAGCAGUGGGGAAUAUGGCACAAUGGGCGGAAGCCUGAUGCAGCGACGCCGCGUGGGGGAUGACGGCCUUCGGGUUGUAAACUCCUUUCGACCGCGAGGAAGCCACCUGGUUGGAAGGGUGGUGACGGUAGUGGUAGAAGAAGCACCGGCUAACUACGUG
RNAcentral lists this ribosomal RNA (494 nucleotides) under uncultured bacterium. RNAcentral describes it as "partial 16S ribosomal RNA". It matches the Rfam family "Bacterial small subunit ribosomal RNA", at positions 28 to 507 of the family's 1533-position model. The record is from RNAcentral.